Non-coding RNA from Podarcis lilfordi (Lilford's wall lizard), 718 nucleotides. Lineage: Eukaryota; Metazoa; Chordata; Lepidosauria; Squamata; Lacertidae. The record is from the annotation of a GenBank genome assembly.
ACUCCCGUAGCCUGGGCGUCCCCAAAGGAUUCUGGGAGCUGUAGUUUGAGAGCAGACCCUGAUUCCCCUUGCAGAUCCCUUCAGGCAACCUGGGAACUGUAGCUUCCUAUGUGGGCAGAGAAUAUUCCCUGCAGCCUUUCCCAAGGGGACUCUAGGACUUGUACUUCUGAGAGGGUCUCCUGGACACCCUGAGCAAGCUACACUUCCCAGCAUGCUGGGGACUGCAUUGAGGGUUGUGAUACCCUGCACAGAACUACGGUUCCCAAAACAGGUCUAAAAGCCCAUUCCUCUUCCUAGAUAACUCUGGGAACUGUAGCUCGGUGGGGGAAACAGCCCUUGGUGUCCUAAAUAAACUAUACAGUAGUUCCCACGAUUUCUGCCAAAUGAUCCUGGGAAUUGUAGUUCAGGGAAGGGAACUAGCAGCCUCCAAACAACUCCUGGCGCCCUGAACAAACUACAGUUGCCAGGACUUUCCCAAAGCAUCCUGGUAGCCCACUCUGGUAAGUGCAGUUCCUUUGGGGGUAAAUCACAAACUCCCAGCACGCUGAAUAUGCAUCAUUCUGCAUUUCCCUUUGGACUCGUCACUAGAUGGAGCCAGAGGAGGGACAGAGGACUGGCCCCCGUUCUACAGUUUUGUUUUCUUUCCCUGCAGGCCUCCCAGCUGUCUGGAUUUCUUCCGCCACCACCCUCAUAAAAAAACAUGGAUUUUUAAAAGAUG